ACAAUCUAUUAUAUUUAUAUUCAUAAUAAAAACUGGAAUGAGUACAAACACACAUUGAUACAAUACCUCCAUACAACACUAUUUAUUUCGCAUAUUAGACAAAUCAAUAAUUUUUUAUUAAUCAUCACACAGAUAGAUAUUUCAGAUGAGAUUUUCAAAUGUUAAUGAUCUUUUAGUUAUUGUGGAGAUGACUUUCCAAAUCUCUAGUGAUGUCGAUCAUAAGACUCAAGAGAGUAAUAGG
RNAcentral lists this unclassified non-coding RNA (241 nucleotides) under Hevea brasiliensis (rubber tree). Lineage: Eukaryota; Viridiplantae; Streptophyta; Magnoliopsida; Malpighiales; Euphorbiaceae. The record is from RNAcentral.